This 87-nucleotide transfer RNA is filed under the name Actinoplanes sp. N902-109. RNAcentral describes it as "tRNA-Glu (TTC) (tRNA-Glu-TTC-2-1)". It matches the Rfam family "tRNA". From Rfam's summary of the family: Transfer RNA (tRNA) molecules are approximately 80 nucleotides in length. The record is from RNAcentral. Lineage: Bacteria; Bacillati; Actinomycetota; Actinomycetes; Micromonosporales; Micromonosporaceae.
GGAGAGGUUCCCGCAGCGGCCUAACGGGGAACGUUUUUUCAAACGCUCGGGCUCCGGCCCACGCAGGUUCGAAUCCUGCCCUCUCCG